UACCACCUAUAAUCGUUUUAAUCGAUGGGGGGACGCAGUAGGAUAGGCGAAGCGUGCGAUUGGAUUGCACGUCUAAGCAGUAAGGCUGAGUAUUAGGCAAAUCCGGUACUCGUUAAGGCUGAGCUGUGAUGGGGAGAAGACAUUGUGUCUUCGAGUCGUUGAUUUCACACUGCCGAGAAAAGCCUCUAGAUAGAAAAUAGGUGCCCGUACCGCAAACCGACACAGGUAGUCAAGAUGAGAAUUCUAAGGUGAGCGAGCGAACUCUCGUUAAGGAACUCGGCAAAAUGACCCCGUAACUUCGGGAGAAGGGGUGCUCUUUAGGGUUAACGCCCAGAAGAGCCGCAGUGAAUAGGCCCAAGCGACUGUUUAUCAAAAACACAGGUCUCUGCUAAACCGUAAGGUGAUGUAUAGGGGCUGACGCCUGCCCGGUGCUGGAAGGUUAAGAGGAGUGGUUAGCUUCUGCGAAGCUACGAAUCGAAGCCCCAGUAAACGGCGGCCGUAACUAUAACGGUCCUAAGGUAGCGAAAUUCCUUGUCGGGUAAGUUCCGACCCGCACGAAAGGCGUAACGAUUUGGGCACUGUCUCAACGAGAGACUCGGUGAAAUCAUAGUACCUGUGAAGAUGCAGGUUACCCGCGACAGGACGGAAAGACCCCGUGGAGCUUUACUGUAGCCUGAUAUUGAAAUUCGGCACAGCUUGUACAGGAUAGGUAGGAGCCUUUGAAACGUGAGCGCUAGCUUACGUGGAGGCGCUGGUGGGAUACUACCCUAGCUGUGUUGGCUUUCUAACCCGCACCACUUAUCGUGGUGGGAGACAGUGUCAGGCGGGCAGUUUGACUGGGGCGGUCGCCUCCUAAAAGGUAACGGAGGCGCUCAAAGGUUCCCUCAGAAUGGUUGGAAAUCAUUCAUAGAGUGUAAAGGCAUAAGGGAGCUUGACUGCGAGACCUACAAGUCGAGCAGGGUCGAAAGACGGACUUAGUGAUCCGGUGGUUCCGCAUGGAAGGGCCAUCGCUCAACGGAUAAAAGCUACCCCGGGGAUAACAGGCUUAUCUCCCCCAAGAGUUCACAUCGACGGGGAGGUUUGGCACCUCGAUGUCGGCUCAUCGCAUCCUGGGGCUGUAGUCGGUCCCAAGGGUUGGGCUGUUCGCCCAUUAAAGCGGUACGCGAGCUGGGUUCAGAACGUCGUGAGACAGUUCGGUCCCUAUCCGUCGUGGGCGUAGGAAAUUUGAGAGGAGCUGUCCUUAGUACGAGAGGACCGGGAUGGACAUACCUCUGGUGUACCAGUUGUCGUGCCAACGGCAUAGCUGGGUAGCUAUGUGUGGACGGGAUAAGUGCUGAAAGCAUCUAAGCAUGAAGCCCCCCUCAAGAUGAGAUUUCCCAACUUCGGUUAUAAGAUCCCUCAAAGAUGAUGAGGUUAAUAGGUUCGAGGUGGAAGCAUGGUGACAUGUGGAGCUGACGAAUACUAAUCGAUCGAAGACUUAAUCAAAA
Molecule: ribosomal RNA, 1487 nt
Filed under: Staphylococcus sp. HMSC055H07
Lineage: Bacteria; Bacillati; Bacillota; Bacilli; Caryophanales; Staphylococcaceae
Description: bacterial LSU rRNA
Rfam family: Bacterial large subunit ribosomal RNA
Source: RNAcentral